AUGAGAACCCUAUGCUGGAGCUGCCGUGGGAUUGGCGACCCCGCGAUAGUACGUGAGCUCCGUGAUCUUGUGGAGGCUAGUGCGCCGUCGGUGCUUUGUAUAGUGGAGACACAAAUAGCAAAGAACCGAGUGGAGGAUUUGCCUGUUUCGUUAGGGUUUGAUAGUAGCUUUGCAGUAGCAAGUAGUGGAAGGAGUGGAGGUCUAUGUAUUUUCUAG
This 216-nucleotide ribosomal RNA is filed under the name Triticum aestivum (bread wheat). Its description in RNAcentral is "partial small subunit ribosomal RNA". The record is from RNAcentral. Lineage: Eukaryota; Viridiplantae; Streptophyta; Magnoliopsida; Poales; Poaceae.